RNAcentral lists this ribosomal RNA (252 nucleotides) under uncultured bacterium. Its description in RNAcentral is "partial 16S ribosomal RNA". It matches the Rfam family "Bacterial small subunit ribosomal RNA", at positions 524 to 776 of the family's 1533-position model. The record is from RNAcentral.
UACGUAGGUGGCGAGCGUUGUCCGGAAUCAUUGGGCGUAAAGGGAGCGCAGGCGGGCGUGUAAGUCUUUCUUAAAAGUGCGGGGCUCAACCCCGUGAUGGGAAAGAAACUACAUGUCUUGAGUACAGGAGAGGAAAGCGGAAUUCCCAGUGUAGCGGUGAAAUGCGUAGAUAUUGGGAGGAACACCAGUGGCGAAGGCGGCUUUCUGGACUGCAACUGACGCUGAGGCUCGAAAGCCAGGGGAGCGAACGGG